Molecule: long non-coding RNA, 1071 nt
Filed under: Homo sapiens (human)
Lineage: Eukaryota; Metazoa; Chordata; Mammalia; Primates; Hominidae
Description: HSALNT0311993
Source: RNAcentral
CUCUUAAGGACUCAGCUCGUCUGUCUUUUUGGGGGAAGGCCUGAAAAGAAUGCUGAAAACAAGUGACCUGGCUGGAAUCUACCACCACGCUACUUCUCUGCUCCAGGACCUUCCAUGGCUCCCACUGGCUCACAGGCAAAAGAAGAGAUGAAGCACACAUUGCAAACACGCUUUGAUCCCUGCAGUGAGAUGAGCGUCAUGAUCAUGCAUGCUUCUCUUCUCCCUUCUCCGGGCCUUUUGAAGUCUACACUCUCCGCUGUGGGAUGGUCUCCUGCCCUACCAGGAGAGCUGGUCUCCACACCGACUUCAAAGACAGCUGAUGUUCCAGAGAAGAAAAACACUGCAAAGAAGCACUCCAAAAUCCUUUUGACCUCAAACAUGACUACAGAAUGGAUACAGCUUUUUAAAUAGCCACUUCCUGCAGCAUUCUAUAGUAUAAUGACCCUUAAAUGACACCCACGCAAAUUACAUAAUUUGCUAAAAUGGAAACCCAGUAAUUCCAUCUUACAUCAAAGUAAAGAAAAAAAAUACCAAACUUUAAAAAUCUGAAGCUCAAUUAAAUAGUAAUUAAAAACGAAAUAUAACUUUCACUUGUUCAAUAAUCCUCACAAUGUCCUAAAACUCUACAAAUGGAUGAAGUGAACAUGAUCUCAGAGAACUACCCACUACAUGUUUAGUAGGCUAGAAUAGACAACAACAUAGAAACUCGGAUCCGCUGGAAAUGAUGCUUUUUCUUUGGGCUCUGGUAUCUGAGGUGGCCAGCUCCUCAUCCCUCACGCCCUUCACUGGCACUGACCUGAGUACCUGCUGGAGACUGAAGCGCUCCCUCCUGGGCCAUGUCUCCUCUACCUUCCCCCUUUUCCACUGCCUCAAAGACAGGCCCCCUGGGAGCCCUUCUGGAACCUGAAGGAGGAGCUGGUCACUGUGUCAUGAUCAGCCACAAUGUGCCAUCCCUCCUCCAUAGCACAGCCACAAGUCCCCAGCAGGGGAGGGCACACAUUUUCCAGUCACAGAGAUCUGGAACGAAGCCCAACGACUGCUUAUUAGCUUUGCAGCCUAACUUCUCUGUGC